GUGGUUCAGCAGAGGCCGGGCGGGAGGCGGCGCCGCUGGGAGCUCCGGGGCGGCGGCGGCGCUCCGUGCACAGGGCCGGGGAGGGGAAGGGGCCGAGGGGGAGGGGAAGGGGCCCGCGCGCCGCCGCUCGGCGUCUCCUCAGUGGGCCCGGGGGGACGGUAGGCCGGCGCCGGUCGCGCGCCUCGCCGUGCCCUGCCGGCCCCGUCCCUUCACAUGCCCCCCGGCCUGCCCGCCUGCGCCGGGCCGCUGCGAGGGACGGAGCCCGAACCGCCAACUCCAAUGGCGGCGGGCGCCGGGCUGCGGUGACGUCAGACUCUGAGCGCGGAGCACGCCGGGAGAGCGCGGCCCGGCGCGGGCAGGCGGGAGGGAGGGGAUGGCGCGCGGCGCGGAGCCGCACCUGUCGCGCAUGCGCGGGGCGGCGCGGCGGGCUGAGNNNNNNNNNNNNNNNNGGGGGGGGGGGGGGGGGGGGGGGGAUGGCGGCUCGUUUCCUCGCUAUUCCCCCUGCUCCCCCCCUUUUUUGGGGGCUGGGAGGGUCUCGGUGCGCGGUCAGACGUUGGCUGCCGGCACUGAUGUGAGAUCCGUGAGGAAAAGGAAGAGCUGCGGGCCGGGAGCGCAGCCUUCAGUGCGAGCAGCUGCUGCCGCAGAGCGCCUAUGGAGCAUCGCGCCAGCGCGCCUGCUGGCUGCCCGCGCUCUGCCCUGGCUUUUUGUCGGGUGCCUGAGGUCUGUUUGGAGGAUGGGGAUGUCCUUAUUUUGGCCAGAAACCUGUUUUUGUGUGUGUGUUUUUCUUGAAAGUGUCAAAAUACCUGCAGAGCUUUAGUUUGACUUGUCACUUCACUUUCUUCUGCUGCGGUGACAUCAGUAGAAGUACUUCUGAGCUUUCCUUUGUUGGUGAAAUGCUCUCUCCAAAACCUGAGCGUCUCCCCACAGAAAGCUAACCUUAAACCUGUCAUGAAGAUUGUGUGAUGUUAAAAGAAUGGUAUAUUAACAGUAACAGCAACAAGAAGACCCACAGCUGAUAAUCACUGCCAGAAUCAGUCCAAUUUUUAAAACUGUCUUAGGAGCUGCCUUCGAGUUCUUCUGAAAUUUAAUAUUGCUUUUCCCUCCCUAAGAGGCUUGGUGGAUAGGGAAAUGAAAAUACCGAAAAAGAAAAGCUCAUUCUUGACACUGCCCAAGGUGCCUCACAAACCUGACAAGUUACUCAGCUUCUGUGUGUUCAACUUCACCACUUUUAAAAUGGAAGUGAAGAAUAUCUGUGAUGUAUUUUGGGAUAUUUGCCCUCGAAGCAAAGCAAACAUGGAACCGUAUCUCCAGUCACCAUCACCCCAGGGCUUUUCCCUAGAAGCAAUGUAAUUGCAAAGGCUAGACAACUCAGUACACCUCUAUCACAAUGCUGCAGUGCAUCAGAACUACCUUCCAUGUGCCACAGUCAGAUUUUUUAAGCCUUCCCUGACAUCUGCCUUCAGACUGCUGACAUCUAGGCAUGGCUAUGAAAUAGGCAGAUUGAGGAGCCUCCCAACACUUCCCGAGGUCACAUUUAGAAGAAAGUUGAUUAGAAGUAGUAGAACACCGGGUCAUAGCUUGUAAAAUACUUCCUGAGAACAACUAAUGAUUCUUACCUAUGGACAGGUGAUUUGCAGCUACCCAUUAAUAGAGCCCUCACACAACCUUUGUAAGAGGGAUUUGUACAUUCUGUACUUCACGUUUUUACGAUAUAUUCUUCAAGAACAGGACAUGUGGAGCAGAAGAGAAUGUGAAUUAUAUAUAAAUUCAUUAUGGACAAAUUAAAAAGAACCAGUUCCACAUGUUACAGUUCUAUAAAUUUUAUAUAUAAGUACUGCCCCCUACUGCUCAAGGGAUUUUCAUAAACGUAUUUAAUUUUUAAAAGUUUCAACUUUUUAAAUCAAAAUGUCUGUAAAAGCUUGCCUGUAAGAAAAGGACGUGUGGAUCUUUUUUCUUAAAACAAAAAUCUCAAUUUAUCAUUUUUUACAAGCAUAAGACACCUGUGCCCAUUCUUUUGCUAAUGGGCAAAUUAUGCUUUUCCAAAUACAUUCUUCAGAAUAAGCUGCAUACAUCUUCUCACAAGCACAAAAGCCAGGGAGAUAAACACAUUUCCAAGUAAUUGCACCUUUCAAAACUGACCUUAAAAUUCUUUAUUCUGAAUUAUGACUACAGGAAUGCAAAGGAAUAGAAAGAUUUCAAAUUGUAGAGACGUGAUGGUAACAAGAGUUGGUGUUAAUUCCCAAAUUAAAGGCAAAGUAAUCAAGCACUCUUCAGUAAAUUCUUGUUGAUAUUAUCUGCUCAUUUUGUAAUACAUUUUCUUGGAAAUUUUAAGGUGCAAAACAUGCUUGUGUGAGAGCAAGGUGAAAAAGAUAAAAUGAUGCCAUUAUAGUCAGAGCUUUACUGCUAGUGCUGAGGCCAUCACCUUUCUAGGAACUGCUGUCGUGCCCUUGUGUGACGUACUCUGAAAUAUUUGAUGUAUGUCACAACUUACAUCCAAACAACCUCCUUUUAGAAUGUGGUUGUGUUUGUCUCUGUUUUUGUAUCAAUAGAAAUUAAAGAAAAAAAAAAAUCGUAGUUGCACAAAAUGUUAUCAGUUUAGGAAAAAUUGUGCUUUUCAUUGUCAUGGUAUAGAUCAGUGUCACCUGCUCUGGUUUGAAAGCACUUCCUCUUAAUACUCGUUGCACAAGUGAUAUUUGGACCUGAUUCAGCAGGCAAUAAAAUCCCUGUUUCCUUGUGGCUUCUGGAAAGC
RNAcentral lists this long non-coding RNA (2749 nucleotides) under Phasianus colchicus (ring-necked pheasant). RNAcentral describes it as "lncRNA (ENSPCLG00000000475.1)". Lineage: Eukaryota; Metazoa; Chordata; Aves; Galliformes; Phasianidae. The record is from RNAcentral.